This 403-nucleotide ribosomal RNA is filed under the name bacterium. RNAcentral's name for it is "partial 16S ribosomal RNA". It matches the Rfam family "Bacterial small subunit ribosomal RNA", at positions 355 to 776 of the family's 1533-position model. The record is from RNAcentral.
UGGGGAAUAUUGCACAAUGGGGGAAACCCUGAUGCAGCGACGCCGCGUGAACGAAGAAGGUAUUCGUAUCGUAAAGUUCUGUCCUAUGGGAAGAUAAUGACAGUACCAUAGAAGAAAGCUCCGGCUAAAUACGUGCCAGCAGCCGCGGUAAUACGUAUGGAGCGAGCGUUGUCCGGAAUUAUUGGGCGUAAAGGGUACGCAGGCGGUUUAGUAAGUCGAAUGUUAAAGAUCGGGGCUCAACCCCGUAAAGCAUUGGAAACUGAUAAACUUGAGUAGUGGAGAGGAAAGUGGAAUUCCUAGUGUAGUGGUGAAAUACGUAGAUAUUAGGAGGAAUACCAGUAGCGAAGGCGACUUUCUGGACACAAACUGACGCUGAGGUACGAAAGCGUGGGGAGCAAACAGG